Non-coding RNA from Vicugna pacos (alpaca), 4203 nucleotides. NCBI's taxonomy places the organism in Eukaryota, Metazoa, Chordata, Mammalia, Artiodactyla, Camelidae. The record is from RefSeq and is a predicted model, not a curated record.
GGAGGCUGGGAAGGUGAAUCCGUGGUGGGACCCGGCGCGCGCAGCCACGGCGUUCGCGGUCGCGGGGUGCGGCUCUUCCUUUUGAGAUGGUCUUGUAGCAACGGGCGGUUCUCAGCUCCCUGCCGCAAGCCUGGGCUAACUUGGCAGAGGAUGAAAAUUCACAUAGAAGAGAGCUGAGUCAUUCCUGCAGAGACCAUCCUCCGUCAGCCAGCCCGCGGCCAACCUGCUAGCUGACCAAGACGCAGAAACUACUGGACAGUUGUUCUGAAGAAUGCCCCUCAAUUUGGGUUUGUCUGAAGGUUUCCCUUGAUUAGAUGCGUGUUGUGCGUUCUGGGGGGAUUUCCACAGAAGUGCUGCUGUGUCUUUCUAAGUGCAUCAUUUCAGAAGAGAUGCUAUCAGGGACUUGGAGGCUUCACUGGAGCUUUGAGAAGGCAUGAAAACCUGAACUGUUUUUGAAAACACUAACACCCAGAGAAGAUUGUUUGGGAAAGACACGAUCCAAGCUCUAUUUAAGGAUCUCAGCGUAUCUACUGCCAAACCUACAACGUGUUCCCUUCUAAAACUUUCCCUUUCAUUGAUGCAGCCAAAAGUCUUUCUGCAGGCAGCUUUCCUAUUUGUCCAAUUCUGGAAAUAUCAAUUCAGCAAAUGCUUCGUCCAGGUUUAAGAUACUAGCAGAUCACAGACCUCAGGAAAGCUCUACAUUCUACAUCAAGUGCAGCCUGGGCAUGUUUUCUUUUUUUAAGGAAUAUCAAAAUUCUAGGCAGACUGUCCUGUUCUGUUGACUAGGUGUUAUUGUCUCCACUUUCCACCUGGUUCACCUGACAAUUUUCUGUUCUGCCACACAGGAAGACAAGUGGAUGGCAACCCAGAAAUUGGAAAAACAGUGAGGAUGGCUUCUGGGCAGGGGUUGAAGAUGGUUUAGGAGAGCUACUUGACUAUUGUUUUAAUCAAUUCUGCUUUGCUACUGAUUAGAGGUUCAGAACUCCUCUUCGGAGGAAUUGCCUCAUCACGAAUAUCUCUGCCAACACAGUGUGGAAAAACAAAUUGAGAUGCAUCACCUAUGAAAUGCCACUAUUUCUAUUUUUGCUUGGCUGAUUCUGCCUCACUCCUAUCCUAUUGUUUGCCAAUUGAAAACAAACUAAAAACAAGGCAUUCAAGUCCUACUUUCUCUCUCUCUUUACUUUAUCAGUAUGAACUGCUCUCAGAAGACAGUAUAUUAUACUGGUUGACACCAUAGCUUUGCUCUCAGAUAGGUUUAGGACCACCUCACAAUUUGUCCAUUAUUGUGUCUAAGUAUUCACAUGAAAUAUUUAGCUCUUUAAACCCCACUCUCCUUAUCUAUACAAUAGGUGUCAUAAAACAGUGAAGUCACAGCUUACUUAGAGUUCAGAUUUUAAAUUAACUCAUAAGGUGUGAAUUGGAUGUAGUUAAUGUUGUCAUGGAAGAACCCUUACAUCACCCAUAAAAUAGAGAGCCGUGGUUUUAUGUAUACAAUUACACAGCACAGGUGUUUGUAAAUGUAUAGUAAUGCAUAUAAUAAAGUGCACUCUAUAAAACAGAGAGCACAUAUGCGAAAUACAACUUUAUAGUAUAUUAGAUAUGCCAUUAGAUUGCUAUUUUUAUUUCUUGCUCUUGCUCUUUUUUUGGUUGUUCUUGGUUUUGCUCAUUUGACAUGAUUGAAUUCACAUAUGACGCAACUCUAGUUUAUCUACCUUAUGGAGUUGUUGUUAGGAAUAAAAGAAAUUAUGCAUGAUUGGCAAAUUGCUAAUUCUGUAUAAAUGAUGAAGGAGAUGAUGUUGAUGAAGAAGGUGAGGAUGAUGGAGAUGAUGAAGAUUAUGAUGAAAAUGAUGAUGAUUUGAAGAUUUUAACCAUACUCAGUUUCCUUAGACUAAUCUGUAUUAUUGUAGGAUUUCCUACAUUGACAAAGAGGGUCAAAAUGUCAGGCAUAGGAUAGUGUUCUUUGCACUAAUCCUCAAAAUUAAUAGAAUAUAAAUGUACAGACCCUAAUACUUAACGUAUAAAAAUCUGUGUCUCCUUUAAUUUUACUCUGCUGGACUGUCUCACAAGUCCAACGCACUUUCACCUGAACAGCCUGACUGGGAUAGAAUUACAUCUUAACCACAUACACCGAAGUUCUCUGGUCUCCACUGAUGAGAAGGAUCAGUUAGAACAACGCUAUUUUGUGGUUAUAAGACAUCAAACCGCAGUGAACUUUAGUUCCCUAAGUGACUCUUUAAAUAUUUAAUAUCAUGUUAAAAAAUGUACAAACGUAAUUGCAGAGAGCAGGUUGGGGGGUGAGAGGAGAGAACACUGUAGAUCAAGGACAAACAAUGGGCUUUUUGCAAAACCUGCACUAGAGCUCUCUUUCCUGAGACGGCACAUCACAUGGUUGAUUAUUUGGGCAUAUCUUCAGGUAAUAAACAUUACUCUGCAACAUUAAAAUAUGCACUGUUACAGUCAGAUGAGAUUUAAAGGAAAAAAAGAGUUAAUCUAGCCUUUUGAAAUUCCCUGUUUAAAUAUAACUUUUUAUUAUGGAAAUUAUUAAACACAUACUGAAGUGAGGAGAAAAGUAUAAUGAUUCCCUUUGUACCUCAUCACCCAGCUUCAACAAUUAUCGACACUUUGCCUCUUGUAUUUCAUCUCUGCCUCACUAAUCCCCAACCUCACCUGCUUUUUUUUUUUUGGGGUACAUUUUAAAGCAAAUCCCAGGCAUUGUCUAUUUUCAUUGUAAAUUAUUCAAUAUAGAUCUUCACAGAGUAAGCCUUUGGAAAAAAUAUAACCAUAAAUUAAGAAUAAUUUCUUGAUACCAUAAAAAACCAGCUACAAGACCCUUUUAAGUAGUAGAGGUAUUUAAAACUAGCAGAAAACCUUGUCUUUGGUAACUAACCUGAUUUGAUGAAUUGUUACACUGUCACCUCAUACUAAGCACGCCGUUCCACCCUGAUUUUGGCAACACAUAUUCUGGAGCUGUCUUAUUAUAAGUGGUAUAGAUCAGGAUUGGCAAGCUUUUUCUGUAAAGGGACAGAUAGUAAAUAUUUUCGGUUUUGUUGCCCAUAUGGUCUCUGUUAUGACCACUUAACUCUGCCAUUGUAAGUGAAGGUAGCCACAGAUAAUACACAAAUGAGCAUGCCUGUGUUCCAAUAAAAUUUUAUUACAACAAAAGGCAGAGGAUUGGAUUUGGCCCUUGGGCCAUAGUUUGCUGACCCUGGGUGCAGAUAAAGCAACCCAACUCCUACCCCAAAAGGGUCUGCGAGCCCUGGAGUCAACACUGUCCUGAAGAGUUGAGUGUGUUGUUGUUGAAGAGCAUGCCUUAGGAAUUAGAAUACCCACAUUCCAGACCUGUCCUGGCAUUUGGAAGAUGCUGAAUAGGCCACUUUUGGCUUUAUGGUUUCUCACUUAUUAGAUGAAGACAGAGGCACCUGUCCUUCUUGCUUAAAGAGUUUAUUGCAGGACCGAAUGAGAUCAUGAAUAUGGAAGUGCUAACUAGAGCCAUACGGGGCUGCUCAAAUAGAUGUGAUUGUCCACAUUACUCUGAAAUUCUGGAUGGUUCUCUCUUGAUGGCUCUUAAUUGCAUUUUAUCCCUCACCUUCCAUUUUUCUGGAUGCCAGACACAUGACAACAAAAAGCAAGCUUACAUUCACUGAUCACUUUUAUGUAUGUGCUAGGGACUUUUCUAGAGGGGUUUACAUGCAUAAUCCUGUUUGAUCAAUCAGGUAUUAUUAUCUUGAUUUAAAUGGCAAAGGAACCGAGACUGAGAGAGGUUAAGAAAUGGCCGAAUCCCUAUUGGGAGUGAGUGGCAGAGUCAGAACUUGAACUGUCUGACUCCAUAGCCCUUAGGCUAAACUGUCACUUUUCUCCUUUCCGCAAUGUCACCAACUAACCCUUUUGUAGUCUACAUUGUGCUUUUCUACCUAUGUGAGCUCAUUUAAUCUUCUGCAGAGAUAUUAAGUAAUUCACUCAAGUCACCAACCUGAAUAACUCCUACUUAUCCCUCAGAGAUCUAGCUUUACUGUCAUUUCCCAAGAAAGACCAUCUCUUACCCCCCCAAAAUGGGUCAGGUCUCUGUGUUAAACACAUUUACUGUUACAUCCUAUACUUGCUUGACCAUGUCAUUUCACUUCUGUAACUAAAGACUCAUCAUGGAGAAAAUGCCAUGAAAGCAGAAAUUAUGUCAUUCUUGUCACCAUCCCUGGCCUAUGAGUG